Molecule: ribosomal RNA, 721 nt
Filed under: uncultured Acidobacteriota bacterium
Lineage: Bacteria; Pseudomonadati; Acidobacteriota
Description: bacterial SSU rRNA
Rfam family: Bacterial small subunit ribosomal RNA
Source: RNAcentral
GCGAAAGUCCCCUUCGGGGGACAAGUAGAGUGGCGCACGGGUGAGUAACACGUAGGUAAUCUACCUUCGGGUGGGGAAUAACAACCGGAAACGGUUGCUAAUACCGCAUAAUGCAGCGGCACCUAAUGGUGACAGUUGUUAAAGCGGGGGAUCGCAAGAUCUCGCGCCUGAAGAGGAGCCUGCGGCGGAUUAGCUAGUUGGUAGGGUAAUGGCCUACCAAGGCGACGAUCCGUAGCCGGCCUGAGAGGGCGGUCGGCCACACUGACACUGACAUACGGGUCAGACUCCUACGGGAGGCAGCAGUCGGGAAUUUUGGGCAAUGGGCGAAAGCCUGACCCAGCAACGCCGCGUGAAGGAUGAAAUCCCUCGGGAUGUAAACUUCGCAAGAACGGGAAGAAUAAGUUUGUGCUAAUACCACAAGCGAUGACGGUACUGUUUGUAAGCUCCGGCUAACUCCGUGCCAGCAGCCGCGGUAAUACGGGGGGAGCAAGCGUUGUUCGGAUUUACUGGGCGUAAAGGGCGCGUAGGCGGCCUCCGCAAGUCAGUUGUGAAAUCUCCGAGCUUAACUCGGAAAGGUCAACUGAUACUGCGGGGCUAGAGUGCGGAAGGGGCAACUGGAAUUCUUGGUGUAGCGGUGAAAUGCGUAGAUAUCAAGAGGAACACCUGCGGCGAAGGCGGGUUGCUGGGCCGACACUGACGCUGAGGCGCGAAAGCUAGGGGA